This 138-nucleotide small nuclear RNA is filed under the name Saimiri boliviensis boliviensis (Bolivian squirrel monkey). RNAcentral's name for it is "U4 spliceosomal RNA (ENSSBOG00000005502.1)". It matches the Rfam family "U4 spliceosomal RNA". Rfam says of the family: U4 small nuclear RNA (U4 snRNA) is a component of the major U2-dependent spliceosome. The record is from Rfam by way of RNAcentral. Lineage: Eukaryota; Metazoa; Chordata; Mammalia; Primates; Cebidae.
AGCUUUGUGCAGUGGCAGUAUCGUAGCCAAUGAGGUUCAUCUGAGGUGCAAUUAUUGCUAAUUGAAAACUUUUCCCAAGUCCCUGCCAUGACGGCUUGAAAUAGUCAGCAUUGGCAAUUUUUGUCAGCUUCUUUGGGG